GCAGCCGCGGUAAUUCCAGCUCCAAUAGCGUAUAUUAAAGUUGUUGCAGUUAAAAAGCUCGUAGUUGAAUUUCGGGAUCAUCAGGUUGGUCGUGCCUCUGGUAUGUACUUUCCUCGAUGGUUCCUCCUUCUUGAAGAUCCGUAAUGUCAUUAACUUGGUGUUGCGGGGAAUCAGGACUGUUACUUUGAAAAAAUUAGAGUGUUUAAAGCAGGCAAUCGCUUGAAUACAUUAGCAUGGAAUAAUGAAAUAGGACGUUCGAUCCUAUUUUGUUGGUUUCUAGGAUUGACGUAAUGAUUAAUAGGGAUAGUUGGG
RNAcentral lists this ribosomal RNA (312 nucleotides) under uncultured Glomus. Its description in RNAcentral is "SSU rRNA". It matches the Rfam family "Eukaryotic small subunit ribosomal RNA", at positions 570 to 886 of the family's 1831-position model. Lineage: Eukaryota; Fungi; Glomeromycota; Glomeromycetes; Glomerales; Glomeraceae. The record is from RNAcentral.